CCUUUGUGACAUACCUUAACUGUUGCUUCGGCGGGUAGGCGUCCCCUAAAAAGGACGUCUCCCGGCCCUCUCCCGUCCGCGGGUGGGGCGCCCGCCGGAGGAUAACCAAACUCUGAUUUAACGACGUUUCUUCUGAGUGACACAAGCAAAUAAUCAAAACUUUUAACAACGGAUCUCUUGGUUCUGGCAUCGAUGAAGAACGCAGCGAAAUGCGAUAAGUAAUGUGAAUUGCAGAAUUCAGUGAAUCAUCGAAUCUUUGAACGCACAUUGCGCCCGCCAGCAUUCUGGCGGGCAUGCCUGUUCGAGCGUCAUUUCAACCCUCAAGCUCUGCUUGGUGUUGGGGCUCUACGGUUGACGUAGGCCCUUAAAGGUAGUGGCGGACCCUCUCGGAGCCUCCUUUGCGUAGUAACAUUUCGUCUCGCAUUGGGAUUCGGAGGGACUCUAGCCGUAAAACCCCCAAUUUUACUAAGGUUGACCUCGGAUCAGGUAGGAAUACCCGCUGAACUUAAGCAUAUCAAACAGCACGAAAGGAGGGCUUUAAUUACUGAGUUAACGCUCAU
Molecule: ribosomal RNA, 560 nt
Rfam family: 5.8S ribosomal RNA (bases 158-311)